Molecule: long non-coding RNA, 1204 nt
Filed under: Oryctolagus cuniculus (rabbit)
Lineage: Eukaryota; Metazoa; Chordata; Mammalia; Lagomorpha; Leporidae
Description: lncRNA (ENSOCUG00000037950.1)
Source: RNAcentral
UUUGAGGGCAUCUGGGGGCAUCUGGGGAGUGAAGCAGCGGAUGGACGAUCUCUCUCUCUCUCUCUCUCUCUCUCUCUCUCUCUCUCUCUCUCUCUUUCUUUCUCUUUCUUUUAAACAAACAGAUCCUCAGGGGUGCAAAGCCUCGAGGAAAAGUCGAUACGUGAGACUUGUUUAUGCCUGUGAGGGUCGCCGCGCGGCCGAGCGGCUCCCGCUGGUGCCGGCCGGCUGUGUCCGGUCAGCCCGCAGUGACCGGCCUCCCCGUGUCCGCCCUCGGGGUCGUGCCGGGAAGUCCCCGGCGGAGAGCCGCCGCCUGCUGUUUUCUGUGACUUUAGAAAAGCGAAGUUCAGUCUGUGGAGGCCACGCGCCCGCCGGGAGUCCCCGCGCCCGGUCUGCCCGCCGGCGGCUCCGAGCGUCCGUCCGAGCGUUUCCAUGCCAGUUCGUCGUCGUCUUCUUUCUUUUUUCAGAUUUUGAAAGCGUGAGAGAGGUCUUCCAUCACUGGUUCGCUUCCCAGAUGGCCACAGUGGCCAGGGCCGUGCCAGGCUGCAGCCCGGAUCCGGGACCUCUCGCAGGUCUCCCGCGUGGGCGCGGGGACCAGCACGUGGGCCGUCCUCUGCCAUUUCCCAGGGCGUUAGCAGGGAUGUGGGCUGGACGUGGAGCCACCGGCCGAGCCAGCACCCGCAUGGACCGCAGUGGGCGGCUUGACCCUCCGAGGCGCAUGGCCCCGCUUUCUGUUUGACAUUCAGAGGCCUGGAUGGUUAGGACAUCAACAUAGGAAUUUGCUGUUGGGCACAACUCAGCCAGUAAUGUUCCAUGAAAGAAACCAUCUAAAAGGAAAAAAAGACCAAAAGAAGACUUCUAAGAGGGGAAGAGAUCUACCUUCUGACAUUAGCUACAAGUUUGUAAGUUCUCUUUCUCUUUCAUGCAAGGCUCCACCCCAAGUCACACUGUUAUACACCCUGGUGGGAAGUGGGCUAAAAGAGGGAGCUACUCACCAGCCUGUGACUUGAGUAUGACUCUGUUACAGGUGAGGAUGCUCCCUGACCCAUUUAUUUCUUAGAAAGCAAGAAUGUGAGCAUCAUUCAUCAAGCAAAUAUAGAUUAGAUGCCUGCUACAUACCCAGCCCUUCUCCAUAAAAAAUGCUUGCCCUAAUGGAACUUGCCUUCUGGUGGCAGAAGGCAGAAAUAAACAAUAAACAUAAUAACCA